UCGCUGCCGCCUUGCAGUUUGAUCUCAGACUGCUGUGCUAGCAAUCAGCGAGACUCCGUGGGCGUAGGACCCUCCGAGCCAGGUGCGGGAUAUAAUCUCGUCGUGCGCCAUUUUUUAAGCCCGUCGGAAAUGCGCAGUAUUCGGGUGGGAGUGACCCGAUUUUCCAGGUGCCGUCCGUCACCCCUUUCUUUGAUUAGGAAAGGGAACUCCCUGACCCCUAGCACUUCCCGAGUGAGGCAAUGCCUCGCCCUGCUUCGGCUCGCGCACGGUGCGCACCCACUGACCUGCGCCCACUGUCUGGCGCUCCCUAGUGAGAUGAACCCGGUACCUCAGAUGGAAAUGCAGAAAUCACCCGUCUUCUGCGUCGCUCAGGCUGAUUGCUGCAGACCGGAGCUGUUCCUAUUCGGCCAUCUUGCCUCCUCCCCCGGAAUUUUCUUAAUUGGAAUCUUUGUGCGAUGGCUUUCUCAGAUGCUGAUGGUCUUACCAGCCCUAUAAGAGAUGUUAAAAGGAGUUCUAAAUCUUGAGACAAAGGACCCUGGGCCAGGGAAAGAAAUGAAUGAAGAUGCCACCUUAUGCCCAGAACACAUCUCUCAUUCAAUGAUAAAGGAUUUGUGGUUGGGUCAACUUUUGUGAUGCUCAACUCUUUCCUUCGUAAGGACGGGCUCUUUCUCAGGAGGCUUUUGUACUCCCAAUUAACGCACUGCUAAUCUGAUGAAGCUCUAUUUUGUAGCUAUGCCAUCUGGAUCACAUAGCCUCCAAGGCCAGCAGAGCAGAGGAAGACAAAGAGCAGAGCAAGAUAGAGGUGGAAGUUACACGUCCUUUGUGCUUACUUUCUACUGGCCUCAUCGGGUCGCAAGAUCCCACUCUGAUAGGUGCAUGGGGGCUUGGAAAAUUAGAAAAACAUGUGAAUAUUUGCAAUGCUUUCAGUAACCUGGAGAGGUACACAUGGCUGGUAUAACAAUUAUCUUCAUUUAAUGAUGUGGAAACACCUACCACAAGUCCUGGCACAUUGAGGGUCUUGAAUAAAUUCUGUCAGAUGAACGGACAAGCGCACAAAAGGUUGAAAGAGUG
This 1071-nucleotide long non-coding RNA is filed under the name Homo sapiens (human). RNAcentral's name for it is "HSALNT0339152". Lineage: Eukaryota; Metazoa; Chordata; Mammalia; Primates; Hominidae. The record is from RNAcentral.